CUUCUUCCUCGCUACCAACCAGAUCAAAAUCACUACUGUGUCCCUCAGGAGUCCACACUGAUUUGCUCCGUGAGCAAUUAGCUGGCACAGGGCAGGCAGCCAGUUAUUGACUAGGCCACCAGCAAGAAUACCAGAACUUCAAGAACUGUGGUUAACAUUGUUUGGAAAGCCUGUGAGGGGCAUUGCAGCCUUGCCUCUUCCAGAUCAAAAGAAGAGAGGAAAAUUGGAUGGCUCAUGGAAGAAAGCUGAUGGGGAUGCCCACAGCUGAACUGGUCACAGUCAGCUGUCUUUACAAAAGAGAUGUCUUUAUGAAAAAGUUCCAGGCUGUGAAGAGCCCAUCUUCCCAUGGUGCUGUCUACUGGAGGUGCCUUGAGCCCAGAACAGAAGUUUUCUAUUACACCUGCUAAACCAGAUAUCCAACCCUGAGAGCUGCAUGCUGAGCAGAAGAGAAGGAUCACCUGCCUCCUCCUGCUGACAAGAUUCCUCCUCAUGCAGCUGGAAUCCUGGGAGCCUGCUUUGCUGAGAGGAGACAUUUCAUGAGUACUCAUGGAUGCAAUAAAAAGUGGAAGC
Long non-coding RNA from Passer domesticus (house sparrow), 570 nucleotides. RefSeq lists it as uncharacterized. The transcript is spliced from 5 exons. The record is from RefSeq and is a predicted model, not a curated record. Lineage: Eukaryota; Metazoa; Chordata; Aves; Passeriformes; Passeridae.